This 235-nucleotide ribosomal RNA is filed under the name uncultured bacterium. Its description in RNAcentral is "partial 16S ribosomal RNA". It matches the Rfam family "Bacterial small subunit ribosomal RNA", at positions 127 to 354 of the family's 1533-position model. The record is from RNAcentral.
UGCCCAAGAGACUGGGAUAACACCUGGAAACAGAUGCUAAUACCGGAUAACAACACUAGACGCAUGUCUAGAGUUUAAAAGAUGGUUCUGCUAUCACUCUUGGAUGGACCUGCGGUGCAUUAGCUAGUUGGUAAGGCAACGGCUUACCAAGGCAAUGAUGCAUAGCCGAGUUGAGAGACUGAUCGGCCACAUUGGGACUGAGACACGGUCCAAACUCCUACGGGAGGCAGCAGAG